AUGUGGAGGAGCCUUGGAGAGAACAUGAUAAAGCAAUCCAGCUCGUGGUGCAAAUUGGUAGAGGCAGAGUACAGCACCUUCGGCAGAGUGAAUCAGAACCUCGUGGGACCAGACCUUUAUCUUCUUGGCGGAUGCAACUACCAAUUGAUAGCUCAGAGCGGAUGUUGCUGUCGUGGUCUGGUCCUUUGGUGGGAGAAAAACACCUCUGCUGCUGGGAAAAGGCCUCCUGGAGCCUGUGACUGGCCAUGCUGCAUGUCGAGGUUGGUGCUCCCUGGCUUCUCUUGCCAAACUGUGAGCCCGGAUGAAUGCAUUUGGGCAUCCUGCGCCUGUCCUUUCCAUCUCAUUGACACCAUAGCCGAGCCUGGCACAUGGCAUUUUCGUGGUAGAGAGCAGCGUGGCGACGUGCCACCCCAGCCCGGGCUGCCUUUCAAUGACCGGAGAUGAAUUUUAUGGCUUGCACUUGGCAGGGGAAGGGGUCAGAAAAUGCUGUGCUGCGUGCCAGCUCCACUGCUGGAAGGAGAACAGGGCCAUGCAGGGCUGGUCCUGCAUGAGGCUGUCUCUGACGUGUAAACCCUUUCUUCUGCACGCUCUGGCAGCAGAGCUGCUUUCCCCAAGCACCCCACUGGUGUUGGAGCAUUCUUUGUGCUGAGGCUGCUGCCAAAGUGUGGUUCUGCCCAGGUCGUAAGCCACGCAGCCACAUGCAGCUAGACUUGGGAAGAGUGCAGGAGCUAGAAAACGGGUUGGAACCAGCUAUUUUGGGACACAUCUGUGUGUGGGGGUGGAUGUGCUGUUUGACAGGAGUAAGAACUAGCAGUUUAAUCCAGACUCCCACCCUGCCUUCGUGCUUCAUGAGCAAUAGCAAUGUGUCAUCCUCCCAGAGCCAUUCAAGAAAACUCAUCCGGAGCAGCUGCGUGUUUGUGGGUGCCCCUGGAGAGCUGGAGGCCACGGACUAGGUGGCAUUUUUUGCCCUGAAAGCAGCAAGCCCUGACCCAUCAGUAGGAAGUUUUCCAAUGCUGCUCUGCUGCCGGCUUGAAAGCGAGUGGUGUUAUCUUAAUCCUCAGCUUUCUUUCUGCUUUGGGUGAGGGACACGUUUCCUUCCCUGGCUUGUCUCACAAGCUCCUUCCCCAGCACAUCCCGUGUCAGCCUGCUGCAGGAAGGGCCUUUCCUCCCUUCUCUCCCAGGAGUGCAAGCAGGCAGCUCUGCCUGAUUGAUCAGCUGCCUUCCAGCCUGGAUCAUUCCUCUGCAGGUCUGUCUCUCACCUGCCUGGGCACUGCUAAAUCUUCCUUGGAAGGAACAGCUAUUUGUCAAGUAAAAUCGGAAGGUUUGAGCCUCACGUUCCCCAAGGCCACUUAGCAGGGCUCUGGCUGUCUCUGGACACCUGUUUUUCUGCAGCAGAGUGGUACAAGUGACAAUUAAGGCUGUGAAGCUUCUCUGGAAAGAGAGCUGCCUUCAUCCUGCUCGAUGUCGGUGCCGCUGCCAUGAGCUCUCGUGGUGAGCACUGAAUGCGUUUUGCCCCCACCCCUACGGCCUGGAAAGCUGCAACAUGCCCCAGGUUUGCCCUCCGUGGAGCGACGUCUGUGGUCCACGUGCUGUCACCUCCUUCCUUUGUGCUGCUCUGCACCAAGCCGCUUAUUGACUAGGAGCAUAAUUGUGCUGCAUCAUGUCUAAUUGGUUUGCUCUGUCGCUCUCCAUUUGCUUUCUCCGUCUGCACCCUCCCCGCUCUCUCCCUGAAUGCACGGAGCUGUGAGCGUGAGCGGGGCACGAGGCCACCGUCCUGAUUGCUGGAGGAAAAAAAAAAAAAGAAAAAAAAAGGCACCCGACUUCCUCCUUUCUUCUCCUAAAUUCAAAUGACAAGAAACAGAGGAAAACAAUUUUGCAAACCCUUGGCGGAGGGCCAGCUCUGAUAAAGAGCCGUAAUUAAUCUCCCCAGCUUUAUUAGAAUAUCAUUACAAUUAACUCAGCAAUCUUGUGUUGAUCAAAGCCAUUGUUCCCCGCAGAGCAGAGGAAGCCAGUGGUGAGUGUGUGAGCCUGGGCUGUGCCGUGGAUGCAAGCACCUAGAGCUGGCUCCUUGCUGCCAGCUGACAGCACCAGCACCGGUGGAGGUGUCCCACGGUGUGGCCCCCGUGUCCUGCCACUUGCAGCUCUGAUUUUUUUCAGCAGCUCCUUUCUUGGUGAGCUUCCAUGGCCUAGAUCCCUCACGGGCACUGGGCGCAUUCCCCAUGUAGAUGCUUUUGGGUCCAGCCUUUUCAGCAGUGGGUUUUUGCCUUUGUGCGUGCUCACACGGAGCUUCCCGUGCCUGCUUCCUCGUCUCAGCUGGCGAUACGGCUGCUGCUGCAGUAAUCCAGCCAACAGCAGCAGAACGGUAAAGACACCAGGGGAAACAUUUGUGGAAGCCACGUUGUAAAGAAAGGAGAGUUGUCAAAAUGAAGCUUCAUGAGCUCUCCAGUUAAAUAGCCCGAGAUGUGUGCUAUAGAAAAGCAAGGAAAACGAGCACUGUUAAACUACCCCUUUCCUCCUUUCCAAACUGUUCUCUUAAUAUCGGGUAUUUAUCUGUAAUUUAAGCCUGUGAUUAGUUUUAUCAAAAAGAUAGUUCUGAGGCAGAGAUCUUCGCAAUGAUGAGGCGUGUGUUUGAAGACAAGCACAGCCACACUUGCACUGCAGGAUGAAGAUGUAGCUGCUGGCUUCCCCGAGCAUCCAUCUGUGGGGGCCCUGUGCCAGAAGGAAUCUCUGGGUUGCACACACCUCGAAACGCGCUCCGGUCUGCCAGGGCACUUCUCUGCCCCCUGUGAAGGUGCUGGGUCCUCUCAGAUGCAGGUCACGGGGUGAGACAGUUUGUUCAUCUGGGGUGAUCUGACACCUGGGGCUCUGACAAAGCUUUCUGGCUCACUGGCAGCUCUGGGUGCAGGGAUCUGCAGGCACCUGGGACACGAAGAUAUUUUGCAGUUUUGCCACAAGAGCAACCCAUCGGGCUCGCUGCAGAGCCUGCGGCUUCUUUCUGAUCUGCUCCUGCCUCUUUCUGCCUGGUAGCAGCUCUGUGCCAGGCUGGAGCCAUGCCCAGGAGCUCUCUUCGUGCGGAACCAAGGAGGAGAUUUGUUUGCUCCAAGGCACACAGCCUGGCGCUGCCCAACGUAAGAGCAGGAUUGCACAGGUGGAGGUGUUAUCCCUAGGAGGGUUAUUAGGGUUGUUCUGUAUUGCCUGGGCCUUCCCUCUGCCAUGGGCACCUGGAUUUAGGGUGAUCAGGGCUGGAUUAGGAAAAAUAAAAUAAAAUUAAAAAAUAAAAAGCCA
This 3285-nucleotide long non-coding RNA is filed under the name Anas platyrhynchos platyrhynchos (common mallard). RNAcentral's name for it is "lncRNA (ENSAPLG00000030266.1)". Lineage: Eukaryota; Metazoa; Chordata; Aves; Anseriformes; Anatidae. The record is from RNAcentral.